Long non-coding RNA from Capsicum annuum, 3260 nucleotides. RefSeq lists it as uncharacterized. NCBI's taxonomy places the organism in Eukaryota, Viridiplantae, Streptophyta, Magnoliopsida, Solanales, Solanaceae. The transcript has 10 exons. The record is from RefSeq and is a predicted model, not a curated record.
UUGUAUUUUUAGUGUUGCUUGUAAUUUUAAUUAUAUUUGAUAUGUUUUUUUUCAGUAUUGUUUGCAUGUUACAUUUUUUUUUUUGUAUGCUUGAAUUUUGUUUACAGAGUAAGAAGUGGUAGUUUUACUUUGUAUAGGUGAUGCGGAACGAAAUAUUCAUAGUCAGAAAACUUUUAAGAUUUGCACCACACAUGUGCUCGUACAGUGACAAAAAUAUUUAUGAAAGCAUACACGCAAUUUUAAACAAGGAACAGUUUAAAAACUUUUGCGACAAUAACAUUUUUGGUUAUUUUAUGAAGAAGCAGCAAUGUGUAGUGCAAGCACAGUUGUGCAGAUGCGUUAUAACGCUUGACGUGAAGGGUAGUUCUUCUUCUGGAAUUCUGAUUUGUGCUAAUGACACUUUUCUUAAUUUUACUCCCUUGGAAUUUGCUAUCAUAACUGGAUUGAAUUGUGUGUCAAAUAGAUAUGACUUUAUUUUUGACGAGGAUAUACCAAAUAGGAUGGUUGAGAAGUAUUUCAAUGGGGCAGAAAUUAUACAGAAAAGACAACUAUUUCUAGCAUUCGCGGAGAAAGUAUGGGGGGAGAACAAUAAGGAGGAUGCUGAGAAAUUUGCAAUCCUGUAUUUCCUGCAUUCAUUUGUGUUAUCUAAUGUUGAAUUUGUGGUUAUACCCCGUCUUCAUUUCGAUUUGGUCGAUAGUGGAAGAUAUAAGAAUUUUCCAUGGGGUUCUUUAUUUUUUGAAGAUCUGGUCAGAAGUUUGAACAACCGGUUGAAAGUUGGUGGUCAAUUUUAUUUGAUUCAGAGAAUGUCACUGACUAUUUAAGUAUGGCUUUAUGAGUGUUGUUUAAAUGUCCCACCAAAGAUUGCAUCGAAGGUUGAUAAUCGAAUUUUUCGAUUAUUAAAUUGGAAGACGAUUGUACCUCGUCCACGCUUUGAGUUUUUGAUGAAUGCUAUGUUCAAUGACAAUGGCAAAGUUGUUUUUAAGAAUAUAGAGCCAACGAAAAAGGAGCUGACAAAAUUGCAAAUACCAAAGAAGGAUGCAAUACAACAUGAACGUUCUGUUGAUUCUGAUGACGACUUUCAGAAUCCACCACCAAGAAAGAUCAACGAACAUUCAAAGAAGAAACAGAAGGUUGGUUCAUCAACACUAGUAGCGAAGAAAAUUUUAAGGAAAAAGCAAGUAAACGAGCAUACCCAAACAAGGACACCAACUCCUCGUGCUGCAAAGGCUGAUGGAAUGAAGACACCAGUUUUCAAGUCAAUUCCAACACGACAGACAUCUUCUUCAAAAACAAAGAAAGGAAAGAAAACAGCUCGGGUUAUUUUUCCUCAGGUACAGUCAAAGCCAGAUAUUCAUGUAGAUGAAGUAGCCUUGUCAAAGCCUGAGGAUCAUGUUGAGAAAGAAGCCUUUAUUUCUAAGAAAGAUUUUGAUGCAUUCCGCAAUAAGGUUCAUCGCGAGUUUAAAGGAAUUCGUGGACUAAUGAGAAAAAAAUUCAAAAAGAUGAAGAAAGCAUUUGCUCAAAGCAAGGAUUAGGUUGUAGAUAUAAAAGCUGAUAAACCAAAUGUUGAUGAUGGAGGGUUGAAGCAAUCUGGACAAUAUUUCAGUCCUGAUGUUGUUCAAUCUUCGGAUAAUAUUUCUGACGGUACAAAGCAACAACAUGCAGAUAAAGAUCCUGACUCCAGAAUAUGGAUUAUGUUGAUACCGAAAGAUCACCACAACGAUUAAGUACGGAGGUUGAUCAUGAAUUAGAGUUAAAUUUGCUUGGUAAAAAGACCAGCGAUGAGAAAAUUGAUGAAAUAAUUUUGUCUGAUUCGCAAUUCACAAUCCCUGAUGAGAUAUUACCGAGCCUAAAGGUCUAUCAAAUAAAAAGCAUCAUCAUACAUUCAUCGACAAACCGUCAAGAAGAACAUGAAAUUUUGGAGCAAAAACUUCUGAGACUGUUAUUGAAGAUCAUGCUCAAAUGAACAGAGGGAUCACUGAUUUGAGUUCAAAUUCACUGGUGAAUUCAGAGGUCGAACUUGCUACAGAGGAGCAAGUUAGGAAACCUCCGAAUACACAAGAAGUAACCAAUGAUAAAUAGGGGGAUGAACAAUUGUGGCCUGAUUCACAAAACACAAUCCCGGAUGAGUUUCUACCUAGCUUGAAUGUCUACGAUCAAACAAGAAUCAUGAUUCAUCCAUCCGCUAACCGUGAAGUUAAAACUCCCAGAGUUAAGGAUUAGGCUACCAUCAAAAUUCAAGGAAUCGCCACACUGAAAAAUUUGGUUCAGCAACUGGGAGCUCAGCAGGGCUAAUACGCAUAUUCCCCCAGAAACAUCCAUUUUUAUAUUACCCGAUUGAUGGGAUAAUAGAUAUGAAGAUUGUCAAGAACUUCAAGGACUGAAUUUCUGUCGACCUAUUAAAAGCUACUGCCAAGAGCAUAUUGAUGUCUGCUUAUACUACUUGAGGAAGAAGUCGGAGUAUGGGCCACACAAUUCGUACAAAAAUGAGGCAAACAAAUCAUACAAAUACAGUACAAUUGACUGCAACUUUAUGAACGUAAUUAGAUCUUUGAAUGAUGUAUAUUAUAUGGAUCAUCAAAACCUUAAUGAUGGAGGACAGGAGAACCAUCUUAUUGAAUACAUCAAUGGGUUCCAUAUGCAUGCUGCAGUGCCAUGGCAUACAGUGGAAGACAUUUUUAUUCUGGUCAAUAUAAAGGAAAAACAUCACUGGGUUCUCGCAGUUUUAUCAUUUUCAGAGAGGUGUAUAUUCUUGUAUGAUUCAUAUGAAUCCAGUGGUCAUUAUGUGGCUGUUCUUGCUGAGAUCGAGAAAAUAGCAAAGAUUAUUUCAUUGUGUCUCCAAACUUGUGAUUUCUAUGUUAAGAAGGUAUUUAUCUUCAAAACCAUCGAAGAUACAAAGAUAAAGAAUCCUCAGAUAUGUUUGAUGUUUUAUUUGAAGAUGAUUUGCCUCAACAACCGAGUGGAAGCUUGGAUUGUGGUAUAUUUAUGGUUAUGUAUGCGGAGUGUCUUUCUUAUGGUCACAAAGUUAUUGUGACUGAGUUCGACCCCAACGCACUCCGUACAAGAUAUGCUGCACUUUUGUGGGACUAUGGGAUCGAAAAACAAGACGCAAAUGUCAUUAGUGAUGUCGAAGCACCCUUGAGGCCUGCAAGGCAAAGUAGAAUAACUAGUGUCACUGAAGUUGUUGAUGUAUGAUGGUUGAUGGAUUUUUGAGUUUUUGUAUUUUAAAAACUAGUUUAUGGAUGUAGGUUUUGAUUGUACAG